This 204-nucleotide long non-coding RNA is filed under the name Carica papaya (papaya). Its description in RNAcentral is "long non-coding RNA (CPAP_LNC014722)". The record is from RNAcentral. Lineage: Eukaryota; Viridiplantae; Streptophyta; Magnoliopsida; Brassicales; Caricaceae.
UAUGCUUUGGAAAACUAAACUUUUUACUGUACGUCUUUAUUGCUCUAGUCAAGAACACUAAGUUUAAUUAAAAAAGAAUUGAAUUGUGAUAGAAGGAUAAAUGAGAUACGGUUAUGUAUUUUAUAUAGGUCGUGAAAAAUGUAGAUUUUAUAAUACUAUAACUUCUAAAAUCUUCGAACUUAAAUGAAGAAUCUAUUGUUAUUU